UUACCCGGGCCUCUCGGCCAAGG
RNAcentral lists this unclassified non-coding RNA (23 nucleotides) under Chlamydomonas reinhardtii. RNAcentral's name for it is "small RNA Cre_3734". Lineage: Eukaryota; Viridiplantae; Chlorophyta; Chlorophyceae; Chlamydomonadales; Chlamydomonadaceae. The record is from RNAcentral.